AGAGAUAUAAAUUGAAUUCGUCCAUAUAUGAGGCUAUCAAAUUUUGAAUUAAUCCCUCUUUUUGAUAUAUUGAAGGGCGAUCCACAGCUUUCGUCACCUCGUGCUCUCACCCCUGAGGCCCGAGUAGCAUUAGAAAAGGUAGAAAGGUGUUUAGAAAAGGCCAAGCUGUAUAGAUGGAAAGAAGGAGAGGACAUCCUCCUAUGCGUUUUGAAGACAUUCCGUCAACCAACAGGAGUGUUGUGGCAGUCAGGUCCUCUAUUGUGGACUUAUCCUCAUGUGUCUCCCAAUAAAACCCUUGAAUAUUAUCCCAUUGCUGUAGCUCAAUUAGCGAUUUUGGGCAUUAAAUCAUGUAUUAAACAUUUUGGAGCACCCCCUCAGAAAAUCAUUACACCUUAUAAUGCUAAUCAAAUACAGAUCCUAAGUUCUUUGAUAGAUGAUUGGGCCCUAUUGUGCUGUAAUUUUGAUGGGGAAUUAGAUAAUCAUUAUCCCAAAGAUCCUUUGCUACAAUUUUUUAGUGAACAUCCAGUGAUUUUCCCCAAAGUCACAGCAUCUAAACCCAUAUUGGGUGCAUUGGAUAUUUAUACAGAUGGUUCUAAAACAGGUGUUGGUGCCUAUGUAGUUAAUUCUCAAAAACCCGUUCUUUUUCAAUACAAUCCUGGCACCCCACAACUUACUGAAUGUAAAAUUGUGUUGGAAGUAUUCAAAGCUUUUAAGGAAUCUUUUAAUCUAGUCUCUGAUUCAGCUUAUGUAGUAAAUGCAGUGCGUGCAUUAGAAAUUGCAGAACCCAUUAGACCCACCAGCCCUGUGUGCACCAUCUUAUUAGAGUUACAAAAAUUGACUUGGAAAAGAACACAUAAAUUCUUUAUUCAACAUAUUCAAGCUCACUCUACCUUGCCAGGCCCUAUGGCUGAAAGAAAUGCCUUAGUGGACACUAGCACUUGCAUGGAAUUUAUUUUUCACGCCACCCCACUGGAGCUUGCAAAAGAUUUUCAUCGAUUGUAUCAUGUUCCUGCUGCCACACUUCAGCAGAAAUUUGAUAUCUCUCAAGCCUCAGCACGAGAUGUGGUGUUACAAUGCCCACAGUGUGUACAAUUUCACCACCCUCCUCAUGUUGGUAUUAACCCUCGUGGAUUGCUUCCUUUAAAACCGUGGCAAAUGGAUGUUACUCAUGUCUCAGCAUUUGGAAGAUUAAAAUAUUUUCAUGUUUCAAUUGACACCUGUUCAGAUGUCAUUUUUGCCUCCCCCAUGUCCGGUGAGAAAUCCCGCAAUGUGGUUGGCCAUUGCCUAGAAGCCUGUGCAGCUUGGGGAAGGCCAGAUAGUUUAAAAACAGACAAUGGCCCCACAUAUACAUCAAAAUCAUUCCAAACCUUUUGCAAAAUAAUGCAGGUUAGUCACUCUACUGGCCUUCUCUACAAUCCACGGGGCCAAGGCAUUGUGGAAAGAGCACAUCGAACCUUAAAAUAACUCUUAUAAAAACAAAAAGGGGGAAUCGCUGAUGGCCGGCCACAAUUAUCUUUAGCCCUCUUUACUUUAAAUUUUUAAAUUUUUUAAAUUUUUAAAUUCUGGAUGAACAUGGUCGUUCGGCUGCAGAUAGGCAUGCCAUGACCUCACCUAUCCUUAAACAGGAUGUCAAAUAGAAAGAUGUCCUAACUGGAAAAUGAUAUGGCCCAGAUCCUGUUAUUUUGAGAUCCAGGGGAGCUGUUUGUGUUUUUCCACAGGGUCAAGAACACCCGAUUUGGGUACCAGAGAGGCUGACGCAAAAAUUGCUCCCCCCAACAGAGAUAUAGAUUGUAAUAGUUCCAGAAGGACAUGUUUUUUAGCAGAGUAUUGGCAGGGUAUACUGUGUGGUUGUGAAACUUCCCACCUUCCUGCCUAUAGUAGAUUUUGAAAUGUUUGCCACCUAUGCCCAUUCGUGCUACUCACUGCGUGGUCCAAUUUGAACCUCUUUUCUUCAAAUCUUUGCUUCUGUUUGAGAAUGAGUUCAUUCACCAAGAAAUUAGGAUAGAGAUGGUCAAUAUUGUCCACAACAUAAUUACACUUGGGACAUCUAUUAUUGUCCUCCAAACUCUGAUGAAUACACUUGUAGCAAAAGCUGAGGCCACAUUUUGUCAUGUAUGCCUCCUCAGUCAUAUCAAAGCAGAUGGGACUCUCUCUUAUUUAAUAGACUUAGUUCAAGAACAGGUUGAAGAAUUGUAUAAAGUUGUACAAGCUAAUUUCUCUCAGUCUCUUGAACAGAUUCACCUCUUAUCUGAGUAGGAAAUUGGUCGGCUAAAGCAGAGCAGUUGUCCAGAAAGCUGCUCCUCCAGAUUGCCAAACUCAACAGCACUCGACUGGACCCUGUCACCUUGGGGGACUUCACCUCCUGGAUCACCAAUGCCUUCUCAUUUUUUAAGGAAUGGGCGGGAAUGUUGGCCUGGGGGGCAGUAGUCCUCCUGGGUUGUGUCUUUUGUAUCUGACUAUUGUGUCGAUUCAACCGAGAGCACUCUCAGUAUAAGGCAGUGGUGUACCAAGCAUUGAUGGCAAUUAAAGAUGGCACAUCUCCCAAUGUUUGGCUGGCCUCUUUAAAAAAUUAAGAGUUCACCCUAGGUCAUCUGGCAGUUGUAGUCACACAGAUCCACGGUAUCCAGUAACAGGCAACUUUCCUUAUGCACAGACAUGGGGCCUGGAGGCGAUAGGGUAACCCUAGGACAGGUAAGGCUGUGACAUGAAAGGAUCGACCUAAGACAGGAGCCGUGGCUGAUGGACAGACUUGCCCAGACCUAGUCCAGCAUCAUAUUAUUAAACAAAAAAGGGGGAGAUGUAGGCAGCCGGCGCCUAAAAGAUGGUGCCGGUCUCCGGUACACCAUCGCUGUAAACAACACCUCUGCGCAGGCGCUAGCCCGAAUCUGGCGCCAACCCCUCCUGAGCAGGUGCAUGCAAAUUAAAGUGCCAGCAGACUGACCAAUCCUAGGAGGACACAUAGCCCUCCCCAGUGCUGGGGUGUAUAUAAGCAGUCCUCCCUGGGUUCCCGGGGUUCCCAUAGCAUCGAGGCGUUCCUGCAAUAAAGCUGUUGAGAAGAAUCCGAUCGUGUGAGGGGUGAGCGCAACAUACACUGAAAGAUUCAAACUCUUAGCUUUUUGUAUUGAAGGAGAGUCCAUAAGAAAUUUUCUACAUGAGGUAAAGCUAUUUAAGCCACACCUAGAGGCAAAAUUUUCCAGUGGUUACAAGCUCACUAGAAGCAAACCCAUUACAAUUUAUCCAGAUGC
This 3245-nucleotide long non-coding RNA is filed under the name Mus musculus (house mouse). Its description in RNAcentral is "long non-coding RNA chr7:28233775-28237020". The record is from RNAcentral. Lineage: Eukaryota; Metazoa; Chordata; Mammalia; Rodentia; Muridae.